AGAGUUUGAGCCUGUGUCAGGACGAACGCUGGCGGGGUGCCUAAUACAUGCAAGUCGAGCGAACUUUUGGGAGCUUGCUCCCAAAAGUUAGCGGCGGACGGGUGAGUAACACGUGGGCAACCUGCCUAUAAGACUGGCAUAACUUCCGGAAACCGGAGCUAAUACCGGAUAAUUCUUAUCUACUCCUGUAGAUAAACUGAAAGACGGUUUCGGCUGUCACUUAUAGAUGGGCCCGCGGGGCAUUAACUAGUUGGUGAGGUAACGGCUCACCAAGGCAACGAUGCGUACCCGACCUGAGAGGGUGAUCGGCCACGCUGGGACUGAGACACGGCCCAUACUCCUACGGGAGGCAGCAGUAGGGAAUCUUCCGCAAUGGACGAAAGUCUGACGGAGCAACGCCGCGUGAGUGAUGAAGGUUUUCGGAUCGUAAAACUCUGUUGUUAGGGGAGAACAAGUACGAGAGUAACUGCUCGUACCUUGACGGUACCUAACCAGAAAGCCACGGCUAACUACGUGCCAGCAGCCGCGGUAAUACGUAGGUGGCAAGCGUUGUCCGGAAUUAUUGGGCGUAAAGCGCGCGCAGGCGGUUCUUUAAGUCUGAUGUGAAAGCCCACGGCUCAACCGUGGAGGGUCAUUGGAAACUGGGGGGACUUGAGUGCAGGAGAGAAGAGUGCAAUUCCACGUGUAGCGGUGAAAUGCGUAGAGAUGUGGAGGAACACCAGUGGCGAAGGCGACUCUUUGGGCUGUAACUGACGCUGAGGCGCGAAAGCGUGGGGAGCAUAACAGGAUUGGAUACCCUUGCUAGUCACGAAUGUAAAACGAUGAGUGGUAAGUGUUUGGAGGGUUUCGCCCUGUAGUGCUGCAGGCAAUCGCUUUAAGCACUUCGCUGGGGUGUACGGCCGCAAGGUAGAAACUCAAAGGAAUUGACGGGGACCCCGCACAAGCGGUGGAGCAUGUGGUUUAAUUCGAAGCAACGCGAAGAACCUUACCAGGUCUUGACAUCCUCUGACACUCCUAGAGAUAGGACUUUCCCCUUCGGGGGACAGAGUGACAGGUGGUGCAUGGUUGUCGUCAGCUCGUGUCGUGAGAUGUUGGGUUAAGUCCCGCAACGAGCGCAACCCUUGUCCUUAGUUGCCAGCAUUUAGUUGGGCACUCUAAGGAGACUGCCGGUGACAAACCGGAGGAAGGUGGGGAUGACGUCAAAUCAUCAUGCCCCUUAUGACCUGGGCUACACACGUGCUACAAUGGAUGGUACAAAGGGCUGCGAGACCGCGAGGUUUAGCCAAUCCCAUAAAACCAUUCUCAGUUCGGAUUGUAGGCUGCAACUCGCCUACAUGAAGCCGGAAUCGCUAGUAAUCGCGGAUCAGCAUGCCGCGGUGAAUACGUUCCCGGGUCUUGUACACACCGCCCGUCACACCACGAGAGUUUGUAACACCCGAAGUCGGUGGGGUAACCGCAAGGAGCCAGCCGCCUAAGGUGGGACAGAUGAUUGGGGUGAAGUCGUAACAAGGUAGCCGU
RNAcentral lists this ribosomal RNA (1518 nucleotides) under uncultured Bacillus sp. RNAcentral describes it as "bacterial SSU rRNA". It matches the Rfam family "Bacterial small subunit ribosomal RNA". The record is from RNAcentral. Lineage: Bacteria; Bacillati; Bacillota; Bacilli; Caryophanales; Bacillaceae.